Long non-coding RNA from Canis lupus familiaris (dog), 1747 nucleotides. RefSeq lists it as uncharacterized. The record is from RefSeq and is a predicted model, not a curated record. NCBI's taxonomy places the organism in Eukaryota, Metazoa, Chordata, Mammalia, Carnivora, Canidae. The transcript is spliced from 4 exons.
GUGUCCCCCGCGGCCCCGGACUCGCCUGCCUGGGCCCCGGCCCCCACCGGUGGCCCCCACCAGCGGCCCCCACCGGCAGCACUGGCCACUGAGUGGUAGAUGCUGUGGGACGCGCCUUGCGGACAAGAGCUCCCCUAGCUCCCCGGACUGAGCAGGGGGGCCUGUGGGUCUGGCCCCCGCCCCCACCCGGCAGGCUGAGCCCGGCCCACGGGGCGCCGUCAGUGGGGGGGCAGCAGGACAGGGCGCUGCAGUCACUCGGCAGAAAGCGUGGAUGCAGAGAGAACGGAGCCCCGGGCGCCGUCCCCGUCGAGUGAGGGCCUCUCCAAGAGGGGACUAGAGAGACGGCUUGACCCCAGAAAUCCGGAACGGCCCAAACGGAAGGAGAGCCCUCCCUGCCCGAGUGGAGCUCAGAGGAGUCCUGCCCACGAGAGGCACAGGGUCGGGGGCCCCAGAGCACUGCAUCCCCCCCUCCAGCGGGACGCCGGGGGCUCAGCUCCUUACACCCUUCGCGUCCGUAGGAGCGAGUCUUAGACAAGCCAACACUUCGAAAGGGGAGUGAACAGAAGGAAGCGCGCUGCCGCGAUGGUAGCUAGGAAACGAGGCUAACCAAGUACGCCAGGGUUUGGCGUGCGGAUGGAUGUGUGCGCUGGUGCUGUUGACUCCACAGCGACUCAGGCUCCUCUAAGGCACGGAAGCCUCACGCCCGUACCGAUAGUCACCAAAGAAUGACUAAAUGAGUGGGAAGCCCCUCUUACCUCUUACCUCCAGCUGCACAGGUGCCAGUCUCCUGCGCCAAGACCGGGGCCAGGCAGGUGGUGGCCUGGAAUCAGCCUACCCCUUGCUCGCUGUGGGAUCCUGCCCAAGUCACUAGACCGCUCUGAGCCUUGCUUUCCUCGUGUGGACAUGGGCGGACAGCCCGUCACACUCAUCUCACAGCCAUUGCGAGGAGCCAAGGAGAUGAUGCUUGGGCAGAGCUUCGGGUGGCGCUUGGCACAGCUGAACCAGGUGACGGCCGGCGGAGGAGGAGGAGGAAGACGGAGACGCCCAUGACAACGUACGCCGUUUGCAGUCCUUGGCCUCAGUCCGCUCUGUUUUUCCGUAGAGCAGCGUCCUCCAGUACCUGGUCGCAGACUCUUCACAGGCCUAAAAGUCAUCUUAGGGUACCAACGACCUCUUGUUUAUGUUGCUCUAUCAAUUGAUAUUCACUAUACAUCGAAACAGAAUCCAUAUACGUGUUUAAUAGUUCACUGAGAAGUGACGAUAGCAAACCCACAAUAUGUUCGCAUACAUAAAAUAUUUUUGCUGAAAAAUUACUUUUUUGAAUUUACGGUUUUGCAGUUUUGCAAGUCGCUGUUAUGUCUGGCCUAAAAGAAGACAACUGGAUCCUCGUAUCUAUUUCUGCAUUCAGGCUCCUUCCAUCUGCUGUUUCUGUUGAAGAAUGUGAGGAAAAUCUAGACUCGCGCAGAUAUGUAAUUGCAAAAGGGAGAAGUAUUUUAAUAGCCUGUUCAGAUCACCGUGGAUAGUCCUUGACUCUGUACCAGAACUCAGGGAGUGGUGGUUUCUUAAAAGAAACUUAUCGUGUGGAAUCUGGAAACAUACUGCUGAAUUUUUUGUGCUCUUUUUUCACUGAACUUCUUUACUUGUGCUGUGCCUUUAAAGUGCAUUUAUUUGCAGGCCGCUUAUAGUUCGGUCCUGCUUUUUUAUCCCAUCUGACAGUCUCUAUCUUUUAGUAAAUGUGUUGACAUCA